Molecule: ribosomal RNA, 440 nt
Filed under: uncultured bacterium
Lineage: Bacteria
Description: partial 16S ribosomal RNA
Rfam family: Bacterial small subunit ribosomal RNA
Source: RNAcentral
CCUACGGGAGACAGCAGUGGGGAAUAUUGCACAAUGGGGGGAACCCUGAUGCAGCGACGCCGCGUGAGUGAAGAAGUAUUUCGGUAUGUAAAGCUCUAUCAGCAGGGAAGAAAAUGACGGUACCUGAGUAAGAAGCCCCGGCUAACUACGUGCCAGCAGCCGCGGUAAUACGUAGGGGGCAAGCGUUAUCCGGAUUUACUGGGUGUAAAGGGAGCGUAGACGGCUGUGCAAGUCUGGAGUGAAAGGCGGGGGCUCAACCCCCGGACUGCUCUGGAAACUGUACGGCUGGAGUGCAGGAGAGGUAAGGGGAAUUCCUAGUGUAGCGGUGAAAUGCGUAGAUAUUAGGAGGAACACCAGUGGCGAAGGCGGCUUACUGGACUGUAACUGACGUUGAGGCUCGAAGGCGUGGGGAGCAAACAGGAUUAGAUACCCUAGUAGUC